UUCACCUUUUUACUAAAGCAACACGAUGGCGGUGAGCCCGGGUGCGAGGGCCCGUUCAUCGCUGCUUGCAGCUUUAAUUGUAUUUAUUUUGGCGUUAAACUGCAGCUAGCUCUCUGAAAACCUAAAAUAUAUAUUUAUAUGGUUAUUUAUUUAUAUAAAUCACAAUCUAUGUGAUUUUAUAACCACACUAAGCCACGUUGCAAUUCUGGUUUUAUCUUGAUUCUUCAUGCAGCCAUAAUUGAGUUCUUCUCUUAGUUUUAAGAGCUGUUAUAUAUUGGCACAAGCUCCUCCAUGUACUUGUAAAUCUGUUCACAGGCUCCAGCGUCCCUGAUUUUGUUGUUUGACGGCUGCACAAGCACGUCUGUUCUUCUCCGCCUGUUGUUUUUCGUGGGGAAUCUGCGCGCGUGGAGACCCUCUGCUCAGGUGGCUGAAGCUCUGAGGCGGAGGCAGGACUCUCUGUUCUGUGUUUUACUGGACAGCUCCUCUCAGCUGCACCGUAAACUGCCCCUGCUGCUGUCCCAUCCAGACGAGGAGGUGAAGUCACAGGUGGCCAGACUCCUCACAUAAGCUCUUACAGAACAUUUUUUACCAAAUAUACCCGUUCUUCAUUGUGUAGAAGCUUGUUUACCUAGAGCUCUGCACUAACAACCUACUGUAGCUUCAAACCCUUGCUGGAACAGUGUUGAGAUCUACAGGUAAUGGAUGAGAAAUGACUCCCUCAGGCAUUUGGAGUGAUUUUUGUUCCUAUACUAGACAUUUGUGAACACCACAGACCUCGUUCGAGAACCUUUGAGGACAUCUUCACUGCCUAACAUUUUCUUGUCCAAGUGAGUGCAGGUAUUUUUUCUGACCACACUAAGUGCUUUGGAUAUCCAGACUAGUGGUGGAAAGGACUCUUGUAACAUCUCAGCAUGUCUAGAAAUCUUAAUGCCUUGAAAAAUAAGUGUUACUUCAGUGCUGCAUAAUGCAAGUGAAGUUUACUACUAAAAAACGUUAUUCAGGUUACGCUGAUGUAGUAAUGACCCAGGAACCUUAUUUUUACAGAAUGUGUGCAUUGAUUGUACUGUGACUGUUUUCUUAUGCUUGAUGAUGAUAUCGACAGGGCCAGCGAGCGAUGCAUUAUUUAAGAGAUAUUGUUUUAUAAGGCAAUUAUAAUACAGUGGUUAAUAUUUGCUAUGAUUUCUUUUAGGAAUGCUUUUUGGCUUUUAUAUCAGAGAUUUGUUUAUUUGGGGUUUGUUUUGUAAGUCCAGUUCGCUCACAUAUUUACCGAGAACUGUCUGUCAUUCGAGACUGUGGAAUGACAGAGAAGAGCAUGUGCUGAAAUGACACUGAAUCUAGAGCCGCGAAGAAGAAAACUCGACUCAGAAAAGCAAGAUUGUCCAGCGGUUCUCUAGGUUUCAUCAGGCUGGUUCAUGCUGUGACAGGGUUUGUGUAGCUCACGUUCACUCAGAAGUCGGCGAUGCUCACACUCACUCCUGUUUCCUGCAAACAAGCGGCUCCUACACACCGAAACACCCGCAGAGAAAAUGCAGCUUCGGUGAAGAAAUAUGAGAUAAGGACCCAUGCAAGACCAGCAUAAGUGCUGAAAAUGAAAUAGAGGCCCAAAAAAUCACAAAUAAUUAUAAGGUUUGGAUUCAGGAAGUGCAAGAUUCAUGUGACAAAGCGUCUCUUUCAGGACAGGUCGGACACUGUGGGUUCAUCGUUCACUUGUGGCAACGUUCUCUAUAUGUUUCUCUUCGGCUGGUGGAUCUCUGGAUUAUGUUUUUGUUGGACUCCUAAUGCUCUUCACAGUUUUUGGCAUCCCGUGUGUGAAACUCUGUUGGAGGUUGUCCUGCUAUUUUCUAUGGCCAUUUGGAAAACUCCUCUACUACUACUAUAAAUACACAGUGGAUGGGAUCAUUGUGUUUGUUCAACAUUACUCCAGUCUUCAGCCUCACAUGAUCCAUCAGAAAUCAUUUUAAUAUAAUGAUUUGAUGCUCAAAAAUGAUCAAUUAUUGUUGACCUUUUACAUCACGCCGUUGCUCCGAGGUCAUCACCAGGGGAAUAAGGGCCUGCAGGAGAUCGUGAAGGCGGCUCUCACUGGAACCCUCCUCUUCAUACCAGGGAUCUGUGUGAUAAUCACGGGGUUCAGGCACAGGAGCAGAGGUUUAACAGUCGCUCUGCAGGGGUCCGCUCCUCUCUGCUCUUCAUAUCAACAGGAGGUUUGGGGGUUGUGCUGUGGCUCUGGAAGGGGAUGUUAAUGGCUCCGGUGCUGGUCUGCUCGGGCCAGAUGGGAGACUCGUGCUGCAGGGGCGUGCGUCUGGGGUAGAAGGUGUGCUGGAGGUCAUAG
This is a long non-coding RNA of Carassius auratus (goldfish), 2329 nucleotides long. RefSeq lists it as uncharacterized. Lineage: Eukaryota; Metazoa; Chordata; Actinopteri; Cypriniformes; Cyprinidae. The transcript is spliced from 9 exons. The record is from RefSeq and is a predicted model, not a curated record.